RNAcentral lists this long non-coding RNA (588 nucleotides) under Medicago truncatula (barrel medic). RNAcentral's name for it is "long non-coding RNA (MTRU_LNC001105)". The record is from RNAcentral. Lineage: Eukaryota; Viridiplantae; Streptophyta; Magnoliopsida; Fabales; Fabaceae.
UCCGUGCAUGCUCCAUUUACUCAAUAUUCCAUUUAGUCCAUUUAAGGGUUGGAUGUAAGACAUGUGGCAAAAAAAAAUCAAUGAUGGAGAUUUAAAAUUAAAAAAAUAAGUAGUUGAUUAUUUAAAAUAAAUAACAAAUGCUAUAUUGCCAAAAAAAAAAAAAUUAACAAAUGCUAUUUUCUCUUUCUUCAAUCACGUUUGUAUUCCCUUUUACUGUAAUAUCAUAUCUUCUCCUCCAAUGGCAGCCACAACCACUAAACCACCGCCCUUUGCCGCCGGAAUUGAUUUCAAGCUGAUUAAAAUAAUUUCGAUUCAUCCGCUACUUAUUGAAAUUAAAUUCUUUAUCACACUUCUGAAUUGACAUAUGACAAAAGGGUUUGGACGGCACCGACAAACGAUGAUAUGAUUUGUGAUGGAGGCGGCGAUGAUAGGAAGAAGGGAGAGUGAUGAUGUUGUGAUUAUUGAUGCAGAGAGUGGUGACGGUGGGGGGCAGUGAGAAGAAAGGGAUAUGAGAUCGUUGCAUAAAGCUGAAGAAUGGGGAAGAUGGAACGUGAUUAAGGGAAAAGCUAUAUUCUUUUAUUUUAUUUU